RNAcentral lists this ribosomal RNA (678 nucleotides) under Salmonella enterica subsp. enterica serovar Grumpensis. RNAcentral's name for it is "partial 23S ribosomal RNA". It matches the Rfam family "Bacterial large subunit ribosomal RNA", at positions 582 to 1259 of the family's 2925-position model. Lineage: Bacteria; Pseudomonadati; Pseudomonadota; Gammaproteobacteria; Enterobacterales; Enterobacteriaceae. The record is from RNAcentral.
CCCUUUGGGGUGUGACUGCGUACCUUUUGUAUAAUGGGUCAGCGACUUAUAUUCUGUAGCAAGGUUAACCGAAUAGGGGAGCCGGAGGGAAACCGAGUCUUAACCGGGCGUUAAGUUGCAGGGUAUAGACCCGAAACCCGGUGAUCUAGCCAUGGGCAGGUUGAAGGUUGGGUAACACUAACUGGAGGACCGAACCGACUAAUGUUGAAAAAUUAGCGGAUGACCUGUGGCUGGGGGUGAAAGGCCAAUCAAACCGGGAGAUAGCUGGUUCUCCCCGAAAGCUAUUUAGGUAGCGCCUCGUGAAUUCAUCUCCGGGGGUAGAGCACUGUUUCGGCUAGGGGGCCAUCCCGGCUUACCAACCCGAUGCAAACUGCGAAUACCGGAGAAUGUUAUCACGGGAGACACACGGCGGGUGCUAACGUCCGUCGUGAAGAGGGAAACAACCCAGACCGCCAGCUAAGGUCCCAAAGUCAUGGUUAAGUGGGAAACGAUGUGGGAAGGCCCAGACAGCCAGGAUGUUGGCUUAGAAGCAGCCAUCAUUUAAAGAAAGCGUAAUAGCUCACUGGUCGAGUCGGCCUGCGCGGAAGAUGUAACGGGGCUAAACCAUGCACCGAAGCUGCGGCAGCGACACUCAGGUGUUGUUGGGUAGGGGAGCGUUCUGUAAGCCUGUGAAGGUGU